This 554-nucleotide ribosomal RNA is filed under the name uncultured euryarchaeote. Its description in RNAcentral is "bacterial SSU rRNA". It matches the Rfam family "Archaeal small subunit ribosomal RNA", at positions 325 to 879 of the family's 1478-position model. Lineage: Archaea; Methanobacteriati; Methanobacteriota. The record is from RNAcentral.
ACGGGGUGCAGCAGGCGCGAAAACUUUACAAUGCUGGAAACAGCGAUAAGGGGACCUCGAGUGCCAGGUUACAAAUCUGGCUGUCGUGAUGCCUAAAAAGCAUUGCAUAGCAAGGGCCGGGCAAGACCGGUGCCAGCCGCCGCGGUAACACCGGCGGCUCGAGUGGUAACCGUUAUUAUUGGGUCUAAAGGGUCUGUAGCCGGCCGGAUAAGUCUCUUGGGAAAUCUGGCAGCUUAACUGUCAGGCUUUCAGGAGAUACUGUCUGGCUCGAGGCCGGGAGAGGUGGGAGGUACUUCAGGGGUAGGAGUGAAAUCUUGUAAUCCUUGAAGGACCACCAGUGGCGAAGGCGUCUCACCAGAACGGACCUGACGGCAAGGGACGAAAGCUAGGGGCACGAACCGGAUUAGAUACCCGGGUAGUCCUAGCCGUAAACGAUACUCGCUAGGUGUCGGCCACGGUGCGACCGUUGUCGGUGCCGUAGGGAAGCCGUGAAGCGAGCCACCUGGGAAGUACGGCCGCAAGGCUGAAACUUAAAGGAAUUGGCGGGGGAGCAC